AUUACUCCAAUCUACGUCAUGUAUGUAGGGUUAACCAUCGCCGCAGUUCUCUUUGUGAUGGGAAUCAUGGUGCUUGGUUGUGGCAAAGUGAAACGAAUCCCACGGUGUCAUAUUGGCAAAGGAAGUUCAUACGAGGUGACCAGAAGUUAACACUUUCCCCGGCAUUGAUCAGCUGGCCCAGCAAAUAAACAGAAGAACAGCAGAACACCCAGUCAGUCCUGUUUCCACAGCGGUUACAGACUUACAUUUCCCCCUUGUGAGAACAACAUCAUAAGGACAAGAUGGAGAGUUUGUGUGUGUGUGUGUGUGUGUGAGUGAGCGUGUUCAUUAUUUCAAACUGAUCUCCAGGAUUGUCACAGAGGCGCCGGGGAAUAAGAUGUGUGCUAUCGUGCUGCACUAAACGCCAGCAGUAACACACCGGCUGGGACUUUGGCAGAUCCCAACGUAAUCACGCAUCACAGACACAAAAUCCCUUCAUCCCUCUGCUCUCCUGCACCAAACUGCUUGGUUUAAGCGUCAAACUUUGUACAAUACAGGCCUGUACUUGUGUUUUAUUAUUAUUAUUAUUUCAAUACUUUGCAUCCUCAGAUGUGUCAAUCUUUGUGUAGCUCACAAGCGCCCUCAAGAGGCCUUCAGACACAUUUAUUAUGAGAUCUCCCAAGAGGAGAAGAAUAAAAACAAUUUGCCUGAGUCU
This is a long non-coding RNA of Carassius auratus (goldfish), 694 nucleotides long. RefSeq lists it as uncharacterized. The transcript has 3 exons. The record is from RefSeq and is a predicted model, not a curated record. NCBI's taxonomy places the organism in Eukaryota, Metazoa, Chordata, Actinopteri, Cypriniformes, Cyprinidae.